GAUGAACGCUGGCGGCGUGCCUAACACAUGCAAGUCGAACGAAGCAUUUAGACGGAAAUUUUCGGAUGGAAGCCUAAAUGACUUAGUGGCGGAUGGGUGAGUAACGCGUGGGUAACCUACCUUGUACAGGGGAAUAACAGUUGGAAACGGGUGCUAAUACCGCAUAGGUUUCUUGGUCGCAUGAUCGAGAAAGGAAGACGGCCUUUGUGCUGUCGCUUAUGGAUGGACCCGCGGCGUAUUAGUUAGUUGGUGAGGUAACGGCUCACCAAGACGAUGAUACGUAGCCGACCUGAGAGGGUGAUCGGCCAC
Molecule: ribosomal RNA, 309 nt
Filed under: uncultured bacterium
Lineage: Bacteria
Description: bacterial SSU rRNA
Rfam family: Bacterial small subunit ribosomal RNA
Source: RNAcentral